Molecule: small nuclear RNA, 115 nt
Organism: Hemibagrus wyckioides
Lineage: Eukaryota; Metazoa; Chordata; Actinopteri; Siluriformes; Bagridae
Product: U5 spliceosomal RNA
Exons: 1
Source: RefSeq, a predicted model, not a curated record
UAGCCCAGAUUUCUCUUCAGUCAUGCAUAAAUCUUUCGCCUUUUACUAAAGAUUUUCGUGAAGAAGAACAUCUAUGAGUUUCAUGUAUUUUUGUGAGCUUUGCUCUUGUAAAGCU